This is a long non-coding RNA of Lynx canadensis (Canada lynx), 1904 nucleotides long. RefSeq lists it as uncharacterized. The record is from RefSeq and is a predicted model, not a curated record. NCBI's taxonomy places the organism in Eukaryota, Metazoa, Chordata, Mammalia, Carnivora, Felidae. The transcript is spliced from 2 exons.
UGACCUGAGCCGAAGUCAGAUGCUUAACCGACUAAGCCACCCAGGUGCCCCAUUUCAACCAUUUUGAAGUGUGCAUUUGAGUGGUAUUGAGUGUGUCACCAUCCAUGGAGGGGUGGUUUUGAAAGGGCAUCCCUGGACUUAGUGAGAUCUCAGCCACAAGCAUGAGGCUGAGGUCAAGGCUGCAGCUGCUCCCUUCAUGUGUGGGCGCUCACCAGUCUGCAGCGGAGCAAGGAGUCUGCAGCUCUUAUGGUUGACUCUCCAACCUCGUUAUUGGAGGCGCCCACUGCCUCUGGUGCACCCCAGGCCCCUGAGCCUCAUGGCUUUCAAGGGUUCGCCAAGCUCCCGUGUGCAGCAGUGCAGCGGACACACCGUCCUGUGUUCCAGGUGGGUGGAGAGGAGGAGGUGAUAUUGAUGGAGGCCACGCACGACACUCCCAGAGCUCCACAGCUCAUCCCAGGCCUUUUUCUGAGGCUGCCGGAACCUUCUUUGGAGCUCUGAAGGUCCAGCGUGCCUGGGACUCCAGACGAGUCAGCUACUGGCUGGGCCCAGCCUCUCUCCCUACAGAAGAGGGCACGGAAGAGUUUAGAGAAUAAGAAGCAAGCUUUGCAUGUCCACCUGGGUCAGGAAAUGGAACGGUGUCUCAGCUCCUGGGAAACCCCCGUCUUUCCUUCGCGGCCCCUCUGUCUUCCCAGAGGUCACAGCCUCCCGACAUGUGGCAGUCUUUGACACAUUCGUUAUUUCAUUGGUCUCCGAAGACCAGGAGUCAAGACACAGCUCAACCAAGUUCUCCCUCACAGGCUGCAAUCGAGGGGUCUCCUCUGGGGCUGUUCUGGAGAAGGGUCCCCACUCACAUGGUUGCUGGCAGCAUUUAGCUACCUUCUGGGCGUCAACAAGAGGUCCACUCCAUGGGGCAGCCACAGCAUGGCAGCUUGCUGCUUCAAGCCAGCGAGGAAGACCGUCUCCAAGCAAGAGAGGCGUUAUUAACCAUGGAAGCGACACCCAGUCCCCUUUCAGAAUUUUGUGGGUUAAAAGCAAGCCGUAGCAUCCACUAGCAUUGCCACAGUUCAAAAAAGAAAACAAGGGGGAAAGGAAGAAAGAAAAUAUAAUUGCUGGUGAAGAUGUGGAGGAACUGGAACCCUAAAUACUGCUGGUGGAACAGAGAAUAGGUCAGCUACUGUGCAGAAGAGUCCAGCAAUGAGUUCCUCAACGCGUUAGAAUUCUGUAACCCAACGACUACAUUCCUAGAUACACACCCAAGAGAACUGAAAGCAAGAACUCCGAUACUUGUGCACACACGUUUAUAGCUGCAUUUUUCACAAUAGCCAGAGGGUGAAAACAACCAAAUAUCCAUCAGCAGUUGGAUGGAUAGACAGAAGACAAAAUAUAGAAAACGGUAUGGAGGUUCCUCCAAAAAUUAAAUACCAUGUGAUCCAAUAAUUCCACUAGUGUGUGUUUAUCCAGGGGAAGUGAAAACACUGAUUUGAAGAGCUCUCUGCACUCCAGUGUUUUUUGCAGCAUUAUAUACGAACAAAAUGUGGUCUCUUCAUGCAAUGAAAUAUUAUUCAGCCAUAAAGAUGACUGAAAUUCUGAUUCAUACUAUAGCAUGGAUGAGCCUUGAGAACAUUAUGUUAAGUGAAAACGAAGCCAGAGACAAAAGAUCACAUAUAUGAACUAUCUAGCGUCAGUUCCGUACAGACAGUAGACAUGAUCUUCAGAGGUUCUGGGGGAGGAAUGGGAGUGACCUGGGGCACAGGGCUUCUGGGGCGAUGAAAAGGUUUGUAACUAGAUAGUGGUGUUGGUUGCACAGUAUGAAUGUGCUAAAUGCCACCGAAUUGUAUGCCCUAAAGUGGUUUAAAGGUUAACUUUGUUUUAUUUAUUGUUUAUAUUAAAAACAGCAAAACCCA